UGGGAAUCUGCCCAGUCGUGGGGGAUAACGUAUGGAAAACGUACCGCUAAUACCGCAUGCGCCCUUCGGGGAAAGUCGGGGACCGCAAGGCCUGACGCGAUUGGAUGAGCCCAUGUUCGAUUAGCUAGUUGGCGGGGUAACGGCCCACCAAGGCGACGAUCGAUAGCUGGUCUGAGAGGGAAGAUCAGCCACACUGGAACUGAGACACCGGUCCAGACUCCUACGGGAGGCAGCAGUAGGGAAUAUUGGACAAUGGGGGCAACCCUGAUCCAGCCAUGCCGCGUGAGUGAAGAAGGCCCUCGGGUUGUAAAGCUUCUUUUGUUGGGGAAGAAAAGCAGUUGGUUAAUACCCGAUUGUUCUGACGGUACCCAAAGAAUAAGCACCGGCUAACUUCGUG
Molecule: ribosomal RNA, 397 nt
Filed under: uncultured bacterium
Lineage: Bacteria
Description: bacterial SSU rRNA
Rfam family: Bacterial small subunit ribosomal RNA
Source: RNAcentral